Long non-coding RNA from Ipomoea triloba (trilobed morning glory), 572 nucleotides. RefSeq lists it as uncharacterized. The record is from RefSeq and is a predicted model, not a curated record. NCBI's taxonomy places the organism in Eukaryota, Viridiplantae, Streptophyta, Magnoliopsida, Solanales, Convolvulaceae. The transcript has 2 exons.
GGAGAGAGGCGGGUGUGGAGCCCGAGGACGCCGCCGAGCAGCACCGCCGUCGUGGAGGCUGAGCAGUGCCGCCGACGAACAGCGUCGGCGCCAUCACACCUGGGUUGGAGUCGCCGGACACGCAAAUCCGACACAGGUUCCGCCGCUGCCAGGGGCCGCCAGCCGUCGACACAGCCAGAGCCGUCUCCGAUCGAGCCGGAGAUCGUCGUGAAAAAGCAGAGAGGUCGCCGCUCAGACCGCUACCAUCAUCGCCGAGAGCCGCCGUCUGCCGCUGUCGUGUGAACACGAUCGCCGCCGCGCCUGCCAUCGUUCGAUUAACAGACGCACGGAGCCGCCAGCGUCAUCAUCGCCGAUCGUCUCUAUCGUCUAACGGAGUCGCCUUCGAAUCGCGCCGUCGUCAAAGAGGAUUGAUUUUGAUUUCAGUGCAGUAUUUGAAAAUUUUUAAUAGGAAACGAUAUGUAUAUGCUCACAUACAGAUGCCAAAUAAUAAAAUAUUUGUGAGUAAGUAUACUGUAAAAAUAUAUGCAUAUACACUGUGAAUUCAUGUGGAUAAUAAGAAACUAUAUGCUACA